RNAcentral lists this ribosomal RNA (309 nucleotides) under Serratia marcescens. RNAcentral describes it as "bacterial SSU rRNA". It matches the Rfam family "Bacterial small subunit ribosomal RNA", at positions 304 to 605 of the family's 1533-position model. The record is from RNAcentral. Lineage: Bacteria; Pseudomonadati; Pseudomonadota; Gammaproteobacteria; Enterobacterales; Yersiniaceae.
CCAGCCACACUGGAACUGAGACACGGUCCAGACUCCUACGGGAGGCAGCAGUGGGGAAUAUUGCACAAUGGGCGCAAGCCUGAUGCAGCCAUGCCGCGUGUGUGAAGAAGGCCUUCGGGUUGUAAAGCACUUUCAGCGAGGAGGAAGGUGGUGAGCUUAAUACGUUCAUCAAUUGACGUUACUCGCAGAAGAAGCACCGGCUAACUCCGUGCCAGCAGCCGCGGUAAUACGGAGGGUGCAAGCGUUAAUCGGAAUUACUGGGCGUAAAGCGCACGCAGGCGGUUUGUUAAGUCAGAUGUGAAAUCCCCG